CUAAACCAGUCCUGCAAGAAAUAUUAAAGGGGAUUCUUUGAGCAAGAGAGAGCCCAAAAGUAACAAAGACCAGAAAAGGAAGAGACAAGCUCCAGGAACAGCAAGUUAACAGGUAAUGCAAUUGUAAUCCCUAUCUGCUGAAGAGAAAUGACCUUACAUUGAGAUGUGCAUCAAAAGUAAUUUAGAGUAGCAGAUCCCUGUCAUAUCUGAGACUUGUCGAUCAUUAGCUGUCAAGAGUGUUCAUCCUGUCACUUUGAUUAAAGAGAGAAAAAAGAAGAAGAGGGUACACAGUCAAGCAUAGGAGCACAAUCUUUCUUCUAUUUUGUGCUGGAAAGGAAUAGAUUUCCAUGAUGUCAUUAUGGUGCUACUGCUAAUGGCUACAUAUAAAGAAAACAGUCUAACCAGCAGGACAGCUCUGCCUCAUGAAAUCUUUUAGAGAUGGAGGCUUCCUCCAUCUCAUUCUUGUUCAGACAUUGCCCUCAUCUUCAUAAUCAAAACUGUGCCACUGCUCAAAUCCUUGAAGCCUAAAGGAAGGAGAACAGCAGUUCAGGACAAGCAACUUGACUUUUAAAUUGGAACUGACCUAGACAUUGUAUAUGUAUGAAUUUUGCUCUAUUUCCUUAAGAGAAUGGAGUCCUGUAACCAAUCUGGUUGCCAGGGCACCAGGAAAUGUGGUCCCUAGCUAUGAAGCCAUGAGCCCAGCUUCAGCAAUUUUACUGUGAAAAGAACCAGGAAUUAAAAUUUGGUGUAUGUUAAUCUCUGCCACAGAGAUUAUAUACUUUCUAUGAAUCUUGAGAUAUUUUUCAAAAUUGUUCUACGAAGUGUUCAUUAACUGAGUCUAUUCAAAAUGUUAGUAACCACAAUAAUCUGUAAUGUUAACAAAUAAAAAAUUUCAACUCUGUGAAAUCAUUAAUAAGAUCAACAUCAACAUUCUGUUUGGGAAAUAAUUGACUCGGUAAGCCAACAUCUCAUUUUAUAGAAACAGAAGGGUGUGGGCGUGUUACCAAUUUGUAUGCUGACCACAAGCAUUUACAGUGUCAUGGGCUUUAGUGAAUAUCAUCUACAUGAAGGAUAGGGAGCAGAACUUCAUCUUGUAGGUUGCUAAAGGAGUCAUUUAACAUACUUUCUUUUGUACC
Molecule: long non-coding RNA, 1136 nt
Organism: Zalophus californianus (California sea lion)
Lineage: Eukaryota; Metazoa; Chordata; Mammalia; Carnivora; Otariidae
Exons: 5
Source: RefSeq, a predicted model, not a curated record